Molecule: non-coding RNA, 134 nt
Organism: Hordeum vulgare subsp. vulgare (domesticated barley)
Lineage: Eukaryota; Viridiplantae; Streptophyta; Magnoliopsida; Poales; Poaceae
Source: Rfam
GAUGUACUCCCUGCGUCCCAAAAUUCUUGUUAGAUUUGUCUAGAAAUGAAUGUAUCAAAAUACUAAAACGUGAUUAGAUACAUUUAUAUGUAGACAAAUCUAAGACAAGAAUUUUGAAACGGAGGGAGUAGUUC